GAUGAACGCUGGCGGCGUGCCUAAUACAUGCAAGUCGAGCGAACGGACGAGAAGCUUGCUUCUCUGAUGUUAGCGGCGGACGGGUGAGUAACACGUGGAUAACCUACCUAUAAGACUGGGAUAACUUCGGGAAACCGGAGCUAAUACCGGAUAAUAUUUUGAACCGCAUGGUUCAAAAGUGAAAGACGGUCUUGCUGUCACUUAUAGAUGGAUCCGCGCUGCAUUAGCUAGUUGGUAAGGUAACGGCUUACCAAGGCAACGAUGCAUAGCCGACCUGAGAGGGUGAUCGGCCACACUGGAACUGAGACACGGUCCAGACUCCUACGGGAGGCAGCAGUGGGGAAUCUUCGGCAAUGGGCGAAAGCCUGACGGAGCAACGCCGCGUGAGUGAUGAAGGUCUUCGGAUCGUAAAACUCUGUUAUUAGGGAAGAACAGAUGUGUAAGUAACUGUGCACAUCUUGACGGUACCUAAUCAGAAAGCCACGGCUAACUACGUG
RNAcentral lists this ribosomal RNA (497 nucleotides) under uncultured bacterium. RNAcentral's name for it is "partial 16S ribosomal RNA". It matches the Rfam family "Bacterial small subunit ribosomal RNA", at positions 28 to 507 of the family's 1533-position model. The record is from RNAcentral.